This 468-nucleotide ribosomal RNA is filed under the name uncultured bacterium. RNAcentral's name for it is "partial 16S ribosomal RNA". It matches the Rfam family "Bacterial small subunit ribosomal RNA", at positions 28 to 507 of the family's 1533-position model. The record is from RNAcentral.
GACGAACGCUGGCGGCGUGCUUAACACAUGCAAGUCGAACGGAAAGGCCCUGCUUUUGUGGGGUGCUCGAGUGGCGAACGGGUGAGUAACACGUGAGUAACCUGCCCUUGACUUUGGGAUAACUUCAGGAAACUGGGGCUAAUAACGGAUAGGAGCUCCUGCUGCAUGGUGGGGGUUGGAAAGUUUCGGCGGUUGGGGAUGGACUCGCGGCUUAUCAGCUUGUUGGUGGGGUAGUGGCUUACCAAGGCUUUGACGGGUAGCCGGCCUGAGAGGGUGACCGGCCACAUUGGGACUGAGAUACGGCCCAGACUCCUACGGGAGGAAGCAGUGGGGAAUAUUGCACAAUGGGCGGAAGCCUGAUGCAGCAACGCCGCGUGCGGGAUGACGGCCUUCGGGUUGUAAACCGCUUUCGCCUGUGACGAAGCGUGAGUGACGGUAAUGGGUAAAGAAGCACCGGCUAACUACGUG